This is a long non-coding RNA of Arachis duranensis, 1792 nucleotides long. RefSeq lists it as uncharacterized. Lineage: Eukaryota; Viridiplantae; Streptophyta; Magnoliopsida; Fabales; Fabaceae. The transcript has 3 exons. The record is from RefSeq and is a predicted model, not a curated record.
CAUGACCCGGUUCCUUUCUCACCCAACCCAGCGGCAGCCCACACGGUUUCCUUCCUUCCCCUUUCCAUGAGAGUAAGGAAACAGAAGCAGAAAACAGAUCAAAGAGGGAGGGAGAGGAGCUGCGAUCGAAAGGGGAGAUGGGUCACGCUGCUGCCGCCGUUCAGUUCACCACCAUGACGCGCCGUCACGCCUUGCUUGCCCUGCCGCUGUGAAGCUCGUCCCUGCUGAGUCGCCGCCGCUAGUGCUAGGGUAUAACGCCGCCUGUCACCGUUGCGAGCUUCCUCGCCGUGGCCACCGAAGUCGCCAUUGCCGCCGCGGAUGAGAGAAAGCAAGGGAAGAGAGAUCGAGAGGGAGAAGGAUGGUGCGUCGUUGGAGCCAGCCUCAUCGCGCCGCCUCCGCUGUCCGUGUCACCGCCGUUGUCCGAGCUCGUCACCACCAGUUGCCGUCUCUGCCCAGUGUCGCCGCAGAUGGUGGGUCGCUGAGAGAGGCCACCGCUGCUGCCGCCGGGAACUGCCAUAGAAGCUGUAUUCGCUGGUGUCGAUGAAGGCGCGAACAGAGGAAGAACGCGCUUGUGGGGGGGCUUGCGGAGAGAGUGAGGCGUGUGGUGGUGGGUGGUUCCACCGCCCUUGCUGCUGUGCCGUCAGAAUCUGCCGCUAUGGUCGCCGGAAAACCUCUCUGCCGUCGCCAGAAAACCACUGUCGGUAAGGGUUUCGAAUUUGGUUUUCGUUUCUUGUGAGAUUCUGGAGCUUUAUUGUUGCGGCAUGUUGGUUUCAGUCACCGUUGCCAGAGUCGGGUCGCCGCAGCCGCUGAAGGUAGCUGCCGGGGCCACCGCCCAACCGGUUCAGAGGGCGGCGCUGUGGUUCGGUGCAGUCAUUCUCUUUUAGUUUCAGAGUUAGAAUCUGAGUUUACUUGUGGCGUUGAGGUUGUUUCUACUAUUGAGAAAGACACGCGGAGCCAGGACCUUGACCGUUGAUCUCGGGUCGAGGCAGAAAGGAUUCUGUGACGCGUUUGGCCUAUGGUUUUGCGUUUUGAGGAUAUGAGCGCUGAAGUCACGAAGAGCUUAUUUAGUUGUCGUUGAAAUGCUAUGUAUUGCUGUAGCUUAUUAUUUAUUGUACCCUCGCCUUUAUCUUGAUAUAUUUUGUAAGAGGGAUAGGGAUUGUAUUGGUUAAUGUUUGUAAUAUUAUUCAUAUAUAUGUAUGUAUAUAUAUGGAUGUACUCUUUAUGAGUUUUGUAAGUUGUAUGAUAUCUAUAGAUGUACGUUAUCGAACGAAAGUAUCUUGGGAAUGAUAUUGUACUAGAAAGUUUUAAACAGGCUCAUAUUUUAGUAUUAAAUAGUAUAAGUGUUGUCGUAAUGUCCGAGCUAUCAGAGUCGCUCAGCCGAAAGCGUGAGCUUUGGUAGUUAGGGUGUUACAAUUAAAUUAAAAAUAUAUGGUUUUUCUAGCUAGAAGUAAGGGAAUACAAUUUCAAGUUUCUAGCACAAAAUAAAAAAGAGACAAAAAAACAAAAUUAAAGCCUUUCUCUUAAUUGCUGUGUUUUUAUUUCUUCUUGUUUGUUCUGAAUUUUUGUUACAACUUGAUUUAGUUGGAGGCAGGGAAGCAACUUUCAACUCAACGAGGCUAUCAUUGCUUUUGACGGUAAAUGAAGAAAGAGAAGUAUCCCAGAGAAGCUUUCUAACAACAUUCAGUUAUUUGUCAUUAAAAUUGGAAACCUUGGACAAUAAUUCUUUAGAGUGUUUUAUUUAUAAUGAUGUUUUAGAGUGUUUAUUUAUAAUUUAUUAUUUUUAUUAUAAAAU